AGCUCAGCAAAAUCAGGAUAUAAACAGGAAAUCGCUCUCUUCUCUGUGGAGACGCCGAGCAGUCGCCAUGUAGCAGGCAAAGGAGUUGCAUGUCCGACAUUCUCUGCUGUCUCCAUGGGAUGAAGAUUUUCUGCCUGUGUGCCAGAGCCCCACCUUUAGGAGUCACUUAAAUAUGCAGAUUGGAUGAUUACAGGCAGGCGUUGUCACCGACAUUGACAGGUGCUACAAGGCGUUAAGUGAUUUUGGCGUUAACCCGAACGGCUAAGGAUUUAAGCAAAGAGGUUUAAGAACAGUAACCAGUGACGGAGUGUUGUCAAGACGCAGUCUAAAAGCCAAGUCUACCCCACUGGAGAUUUUGUAAGGACAGCUGUAUGGGAACACCACUAAGCCCAUUCGUUUAUGCAAUGCCCGUAACCGAUAGGCGCCGUUUAGUGACCGUGCCAGACAGCAAAUGAGCCGAAGGACCGGAAAUAGACCGCCGAUCGGGCGCUUUCCAGAAGAGCAUUGCCAACCUGAGUCCGGUGACCUAACCACUUCACCAGGAGUCAGCACGGAUGACAGCAGAAAUGUUUGACCUUGAGGGAGCCUCAUAGUCACCAGUCAAAAGGCUCAAGGAAGCACCAUUGAGUGAUUGAGUGCCAGACUUGGGGUUGAGGGAGGAAUCUAAAGACGCACACUUGAACAAGGUCCUCGAUGACGCCGAUGUCCUCGUCUGGGAUAUCAGUAGGUCGUGAGCUGGGUAUGGAGACACCAACCGAGGGAAGCCCAAGUUGCUGGGCUCUGUUUUCGCUGCAAUGAUAAACGACACACUUGUUGAGGGCAUAGGUAACUGUUUAUUGUAGAAAUUACUCACAAGAGAAACCGGGCAACCCAGAUGAGUCAAGUAGCCCUCCCCUCAUCGAACCGGAAGCCGAAAAGAGGGCAUGAGGCUCUGCCGCUUGGUCUUUUAUUCCUUCCUCAGUACACGCCUCAGCCACGCCCAAAAGUGGGCCUGGCUAGUGACGUAGUUCCCCGCCCUGUCUCUAGUCAUGCCCACAGUGGGUGUGGUUAGCCCUGCGGUUCCACCCUUUGGUUACCACCUCCGUAUGCAUCUCUAGAUCACCGUGUGGCUGAUGGCCGAGUCUUAAGUUCCCCCUACACUCCGCUCUGGUUUUCUAGCUGAGGGAUGAUGUUACAGACUAGGUUGCUCUGUUAGAGGGAGGACACUGGCCUCCGUACGCCUUGCCAACCGUGCCGCAAGACACGUUCCCUCAGCCUCCAAGGAGCUCAGUGGGGUCUCGAGCCGGUAAACUUCCACCCUGAGUGUCCUCCUUCGGGCCCAGAGGCCUUCUGAACCCUAUCGUUAUCUGUGGAUUCUGAUACAAAACUUGGAAGCAUGGGAUGCAAAGACCAACUCAGACACAGCUGUUCUGCUUAAGUCUCUCUUGUGGCUCAAACAUUCCAGGCCCAUGUCUUGUGAGAAACACCUCCAUGCCCGUCACUGUCCACUGGGUACGGCAGUUCCGUCUCACCCUGUAGGCGAGGUGCUUGCUUCCUGCCUGAUGAGCUAGAUUCUACUCCUGUCACCCUCCCCAGCCGCUUGGGUCCUCACCGUGACAGGAGUAGAUGGACAGCUGCUAAGUACGCAGACUUGAGGCUCCUCUGGUCUCCCAGCAUCUGCUUGGUACUUCCUGAUUUCUGGAGCCUGCGCAGGCUUUAUUUUCUUCUGCUCUUCAACGCAGCGGACAUACUCCCCAAAAGUGAUGCGGCUUAGCCGGAGCGGCCGUUCCUCACCUCCUUCUGCAGAGAGGAAACGCAGACAGCUGUAAGAAAGACAAAUCUCUCCAGCCUCGGGGAUGGCGCCUGGCAUGCUGCACCUUCACAGACGAUUACACGGAGUCAAGGCUGUGCUAAAUCAGCUCCAUGGUUAUCCCGUGCCGUUUAGAUGUGCUGACUACUUAGCAGCCCGAGCCAAUUGAAGGAAACUUGCUUCACACUUACUCUUUGGAAGGCUGACUGAGGGCAGAGCUUCCUGUUUCCUGCUCCGAGAGCCAUAAGAUCGCGAGAUCACACCAUAGCGAUGAAGUCAUUGUGGUUCUCCAACAUAACUGUCAACGAAGACACUGAUGACGCGGCGUCACGUGGCAUCUGUGGGCCAUGAUGGCUGACGAGCGGAAAUUCAUUCACCAAGAAGAUAGACCCUAGAGGUGCAAUCAUGGGGGUCUUGCUGAACGAAAGAGAAGAGAGUCUCCUGUGCGGCUGUGCGGAUUAUACUCUUGUUUAGAUCAAAUGGUACCAUGGUACACUUCAUUCACUGAAUUAUGUUCUGUAGAGCCUUUUUGGAAGAUCAUCUAUUCGUGAUAGUCUGGAAUCACCCUACCUGCUAGAGAGAGGAAGUCAAUCUUUAGACAUUUAGAUCACCACAUGGACUUUUAACCUACAGCACCCCAAUUUCUUUAAGCUAAAAGAUUCAUUAAAUUACUUUGACUCUAUUGGCACCCCAACUAAUUUGAUCAGCUUGAUUAAGCAAAUCUUCCUUUGGUUUGGAGCUUGGUCUAGAAACAAGGAAUUGAUUAAACAAUUUAAUGAUUUGGGUCAGUUUCCUCUGUCUUCCUUUCAAGAUGUCAUCGCUCAUUGGGUGAUGUGUAUUACUUCUUUCAUUGCUCCAAUAAGACACCAGAAAGAGGCAACUGUUUUACAGAACAUUCCUGUGAACUGGAAUAUUCCAUCUGGAAAGCAGGAUCUUCAGACUCAGAAAAUAAAACUGGCCAAAGUUCAGGACACAUACAACUCACUAAUCUCAGGAAGGCCUCGAAACUUACAAAACUCACAACGUCCAUUUCUCAAGGUUACAUGAACUGCAAGGACCGCGGGGAAGAGACAAGUGCUCCCUGCACGUCAAGCUGCCCAAGAGUUGUACGAGUUGCCCCAGAAACGCAGCUUUCAUAACUUGUCACCCAUGCUAGGGUGGCCCUUGUGUUGAUGCAGCUGCCGUUAAGUCAUCCGUGCCUCUGUAAGUAACUCCUCACUUCUACUCUCUUCAGUCACCUCAAUAAGCUCACUGAUUCACUGCAACGUGUAGUCUUCCCUCCAGACGCUUGGGCCCUGCCAUUGUCUCAGCCCCCAAAUAACACACAGGAUGCUAUGUUAAUUAUAAGCUGUUGGCCGUUUGCUUGUUUUCUUACUGACUAUCUCUGACUUAAGUAGUUAGCCUAUAAUUGCUCAUCUAAGUGUUUCCAUGAGGUCUACUCUUACCGGAGGAAGGGUCCGGGCAUGUUACUUCUCUGGCAUCCUACAUCGUGACUGGCUGUGCCUCUCUUUCCCAGAAUCCUCCUCGACUCCUAGUCCCACCUAUCUUGCUUCCCUAUUGGCCAACAGUGCUUUAUUUAAUCAACCAAUAAGACAAGCACAUAUACACAGAAGGACUUCCCCCAUCAGUUCACCAAGACUUUGUUCUAUUGUUAGCUCCUUAUCAGAGGUUAAUGGAUGUUUGUUCACAUCUUUUUAGAGAAAGUCACAAAGCAAUAGCUUGGUUCAUAGUCUGAGGGGACAAAGCCCAUCACAGUAGAAUAGGCUUGGUAGUUCCUCACAUCAGGACAGAUCAGGAGGUCCAUAGAGAGCCAGGCUAUGAACCUCAAGGCUUCUCAAAAACCCAGCUCCUCCAUUAAGUACCACUUCCUGAGGUUUCAAACACAGCAUCACUGACCAGUGUUGUCCAAAUGUUUAAACCACAUGAGCCUGUGGGGACUGGUGGUAUAAUAGAUCACAUCCAAGCCAUAAUAGAGGUUAUUAGAAGUUAGGGCCCUUCGAGUGGGAAAUCUGGUCAUGAGGGUAGGACCCUCAUGAGUGGGAUUAGUGCCCUCUUGAAAGAGGGCGGAAGGAGUGUGUCUACUCUUCCUGUCAGGUGAGGACGCAUAAUUCUCCCCCCAUGAGGAAGAUACAUGAGUCUCUGAUUCUGUCGGAACCUUGAGCUCAGAUGUCUCAGCCUCAGAUUCCUGUGUAUAAGUCACUUGGUUUACUAUGAUAUUUUGUUGUAGAAACCUGAGACUCUGAGUGGGCUCCGGCAGCAGAAUUCCUUUUGUGAUGGCUGGUGGGGUGUCCUGGUUGGUUCUUAUUGUCAACUUGACACAACCCAGAGUCACCUGGGCUGGAACCUCAGCUGCAGAAUUGCCUCCAGCGUAGCAGCCUGCGGUCCUGUCUGGGAGAUGACCAACACGAGAGGACUCAGCCCCCUGUGGGUGGCACCAUCCCUAGGCAGAUAGAGUUAGGCUCUAUGAACAGCUCUAGCUGAGCAUGUCAGUCGGCCAGCAGUCAGCAAUGGUCCUCCACGGUUUCCACCUCAGUUCUGACUCGGGUUCCUCCCUUGACUUCACUCACUGAGAGACUGUGACCAGGAAGUGUAGGUUUAAAUAAAUUCUUUCUUUGCCUA
Mesocricetus auratus (golden hamster) is the source of this 4408-nucleotide long non-coding RNA. RefSeq lists it as uncharacterized. The record is from RefSeq and is a predicted model, not a curated record. NCBI's taxonomy places the organism in Eukaryota, Metazoa, Chordata, Mammalia, Rodentia, Cricetidae. The transcript has 5 exons.